Long non-coding RNA from Cucurbita maxima (winter squash), 1542 nucleotides. RefSeq lists it as uncharacterized. NCBI's taxonomy places the organism in Eukaryota, Viridiplantae, Streptophyta, Magnoliopsida, Cucurbitales, Cucurbitaceae. The record is from RefSeq and is a predicted model, not a curated record. The transcript has 2 exons.
UAUCAGUUUGCAAUUCUUUAAAAAAAUUUAUUGUUAUGCAUUUUGUUCCUUUAGUACACGUGCCUUCACUGCUUUACUGUUGAAUUUUACAGUUCGUCUAGAGCAUGGAGAAUCACAAAAGAUGUUCUAAAUAGUGAUGAUGGCGCUUCAAAAGCGAUGGUACUGAGUGACAAUGACAAACAGCUCUUUGAGGUCCCUUUCUCCCUCUCUAGCUAUAAAAUCGUAUUUUCAGGAAAUUUUACACUAAAGCUGUUCAUCAUGAAAUUUUGUUCAACUCUUAGUUGACUUGGCAUUAUCAUGAAGUGGCUGUAUGCUCUGGCAGUGUAGUUUGGUUACCUCUGUUUUCAAACCCAAAAUCCCUUCUGCAAUAGAUAUCUUUAGUUUAUUUUAUUGUUUAUUUACCUAAUAGUCUAGUUUUCUUUUCUUAACUAACUUCCUUUUUGACUUUCCACUUUCAAGUAUCUGAAUUCCUAUGUCUAGGUCAGUGUAGUUCUUUUUUUCUUACCUGCUUGUAUGAUAUGAAUUCUGAACAAUUCUUUUUAAAACCUUGGACAUGUACAAGCUUCUCACUGUUAACUACAUGUAUUUGUGAAAUUUAUGUGCUAUGAAGUAGUUGAAAUCUAGAUUUCACAGGUGAGAUCUCACGUUGGUUGGAGAGAGAAACAAACCAUUCCUUAUAAGGCUGUGGAAAUCUCUCUAGUGGACGCGUUUUAAAAGCUCGAAUGAAAGCUCGGGAGAGAAAGCUCGUAAGGUAAAGCCUAGAAGGGAAAACUCGAAAGGUAAAGCUUAGAAGGGAAAGUUCAAAGAGAACAAUAUUUACUAGCGGUGGGCUUGAGCUGUUACAAAUGGUAUCAGAGCAAGAGACCGAGCGGUGUGCCAGCAAGGACGUUGGAUCUCCAUGGGAGAUGGAUUGUGAGAUCCCUAGUGGAGAGGGGAGGAAGAAUUCAACAUUAUCACUUUUUUACUCUAACUGCUUAUUAAUCAACUUACUUUUGCUAAAACUCACUCCCAUAAACCUAUUAGCUUCGCCAUUUAUGGACCUUUUAGUUUAAAUUAUCAACCCUCGUUUCUAUUUUUCUAAUGUAAAUUGUAUAGAAUUUGAGUGCUGUCCAGACUUUAAUAGAUUUGUAUUGGCAGGAGUGAUUUUUUCUUUUUCUUUUUCUUUUUCUUUUUCUUUUUCUUUUCUGUGAGUGAUGCAGUUCAAGCUUGUCUUCAGCUUGUGGAGAUCACAAAGGAAACAACCAAGAGGGGCAGAUUCCUCACCAAAAGAUGCUCCAAAGGUUAGUGAAGUCCAGAAGUGAGUAGCUAUCCCAAUGAAAUGGACACUCGAUGGAACCAUUACUAUUUCAAAACCCUUCAAAUUCUUUUGUAAGGUUGUGCUUAUAACUUGAUUUGCUGUAAUGUUGGGUAAGUACAAUCGAUGCUCGAAAAACCCCUCAAACCGUCAAAUUGGAUAUUCUUGUAUCUUAAUUUCAAUCCCAUAAUUUUGUGUCAAACAAAUUUAAAUCUUAUAUCUAAUAAAAGUCUAAUUUUAUUUGUGUA